Drosophila willistoni is the source of this 596-nucleotide long non-coding RNA. RefSeq lists it as uncharacterized. Lineage: Eukaryota; Metazoa; Arthropoda; Insecta; Diptera; Drosophilidae. The record is from RefSeq and is a predicted model, not a curated record. The transcript has 3 exons.
UUUUCAAUCAAAGCCCGCCAUUUUGUUGAGCAUGCACACGCACACAUUUGAAUUAUUUCAAUUAGAUUUUCAGUUUACAAAAGAGUAAACGAUUUUCUUUACUUUCAAAACUUUUUUCAAUUCCUUCGAAUCAAAAGGAACAGUCUUUCUCAGGACCAAAGUACAGUUGCAAAGAAUAAUGUGCUAAGUGAGCGGUAAAGAAACGGCGCCGUAAGAACAGGGCAAAAUGGUGGUUAGUUAAAUGAUAGGCUUUAGAAUUCGGUCAUUUUUACUUUUGAACCGUUCUCCGAAGCAAAAAAAAAAAAAUAACUUCGGUCGAUUUAAUGUAGAGUUUUUAUUAUGGAUCUUCUGACCCUCGGGUCUUAAGAUUUAUAGUAGAUUUUUUGAAAAGCAUAGAUAAAAAAAAAAUAAAAAAAGGCAAUAUAUGAUUUUUAACUGCACGAAAGAAGCGUGCGUUAAAAAAAAAAAAUUGAUGCCAAAAAGUAGUGUAAUGUUUUACAAGCCUAAAAAAAAAUUACAUUAAGACCUAUAAAAAGGCAUGUGAAAUGUUGCAAAAAAAAAAAAAAAAAGGGUAACGUUUUACGCGCCUUAACAAA